This 167-nucleotide ribosomal RNA is filed under the name Macrolobium longipes. RNAcentral's name for it is "5.8S ribosomal RNA". It matches the Rfam family "5.8S ribosomal RNA". From Rfam's summary of the family: 5.8S ribosomal RNA (5.8S rRNA) is a component of the large subunit of the eukaryotic ribosome. It is transcribed by RNA polymerase I as part of the 45S precursor that also contains 18S and 28S rRNA. Lineage: Eukaryota; Viridiplantae; Streptophyta; Magnoliopsida; Fabales; Fabaceae. The record is from RNAcentral.
AAUGACUCUCGGCAACGGAUAUCUCGGCUCUCGCAUCAAUGAAGAAACGCAGCAAAWUGCGAUACUUGGUGUGAAUUGCAGAAUCCCGUGAACCAUCGAGUCUUUGAACGCAAGUUGCGCCCGAAGCCAUUAGGCCGAGGGCACGUCUGGCUGGGUGUCACACAACG